This 253-nucleotide ribosomal RNA is filed under the name uncultured bacterium. RNAcentral's name for it is "partial 16S ribosomal RNA". It matches the Rfam family "Bacterial small subunit ribosomal RNA", at positions 524 to 776 of the family's 1533-position model. The record is from RNAcentral.
UACGAAGGGUGCAAGCGUUGUUCGGAAUCAUUGGGCGUAAAGCGCGCGCAGGCGGAUUGAUAAGUCAGGUGUGAAAUCUCGAAGCUCAACCUCGAGAUGUCGGCGGAAACCACUUGGCUAGAGUCCGGAAGAGGAGAGUGGAAUUCCCGGUGUAGCGGUGAAAUGCGCAGAUAUCGGGAAGAACACCUAUGGCGAAGGCAGCUCUCUGGGACGGUACUGACGCUGAGACGCGAAAGCGUGGGGAGCGAACAGG